AUUACCAUUACCAUUACCAUUACCUAUAAUGGUCAAAACUCAGAUAUGGCAAAGCUUGUAAAAAUUCUGAUAACUUAUAGAAAGUGAAGGCAUAUAUUGGUGCAAGAAAAAACUAUUAAAUGAAUGCAUAAUUUUGCAGCAGUUACCAAAGAUAUUGCAAAUUACACCAUAUGUCAUCAUACACACAAAAUUUCCAUUAAAUAAAAUCUGUGAUAGUAAGGUGGGAGGGGUGGGGUGUUGGAGGUUGGGGGGCAUAAUUAUUAAAGGCAUGCCUCGAGCUCAAGGCUCAUCAGGCUCCAACCUUAAUGCCUCCUCCACAGGAGAAAGGCGAAUGACAUUCACUAGGCCAUCGCCUUAUGGGCCUAGGCAUGCGCCUUGUUCUUGAACAAGGCUCUAGAGAGGCACGCCUUCUCUAUUUUCACCUUCGGCAAGCACUUCCAUUGACAAAAAGCAC
RNAcentral lists this unclassified non-coding RNA (454 nucleotides) under Hevea brasiliensis (rubber tree). Lineage: Eukaryota; Viridiplantae; Streptophyta; Magnoliopsida; Malpighiales; Euphorbiaceae. The record is from RNAcentral.